Cryptomeria japonica (Japanese cedar) is the source of this 1406-nucleotide long non-coding RNA. RefSeq lists it as uncharacterized. The record is from RefSeq and is a predicted model, not a curated record. The transcript has 5 exons. Lineage: Eukaryota; Viridiplantae; Streptophyta; Pinopsida; Cupressales; Cupressaceae.
AUGAAAAGAAGUCUGCAAAUUACAGAAAUUGUUGAAGCUCAUCGCGCAGGGACUUCUGAGGUCGAUACCCUGACUGCCAGUCGUUUAUCCUAAUAAUCCAAUUUAUUGCACAAAUCCUCUCUUUGGAUCACGUUGUGAAAUUUCUGGAAAUUGAAUUUGAGUUUGUCACCAUUAUGAAGUCUCUUUGGUUGCACUGAAGUUCGUGUGGGGGCUUUCUCCCCAUAGCCCACAAAGGCGAAAGGGGGAGAAAGCCCGAACUACAGAGGCAGGAGAGGAAGGAAAAACAAUGAACGGAGAGGGGGGGGGGGCUUUUUGGGGAAGAACUGGUUCAUUUCACUGUGGUUUGGUUGCCGGCAGACCACAGCUGAGCGCCGCAUUGGAACACAUAUUUCAUCCGACAAACUAUAAUUGAGUGCUAUUCUUCUGCUCCAUUAUUGUUGGCCUAUGCAUUGUGGCAUUACACCGGAUUUGUGAUUUUAUGAGUUGCUGGAGACAGUUGUUGAACAUAGAGAAAACAAGCAUUUCUCCACCAAUCAACAGCUGCUGGACUAUUAUAAGCAAUCUCUUUUCCAAGCAUUCCAUCAGGUGGAAGAGCUGGAGAGAAUUGCAAGGUCAAGAAGAAUGAUGGGCUAGUGUGUGGAUUGCUCUUCCUCUUCUUCUUGUCGUUCAUCGAAAUCAUCCCUCUCCACAUGCAGAGAAAGUGAUGUGUUCAAGAAAAGCCAUGGAAGACGAUCAUCCAAGAUGACACCCUUUUAGAAAGGUGGCAUGAAAGAAGAGCCACCCACUUCAGAUGGUUUAAUGCUGGCAUUUGAUAAGUUUCUCACUGGAGAAUUUCGUAGAUAGCUAACAGCUAUAUAGUUUGUACAUUGACCAAUUUCCUUAAUUUCUGAUUCUUUGAAUUCUGGUGUGAAUUCUGUUUCGAGAAGCAAAGAUUCCCAUAAACAAUUAAUAAGAUAAGGAAGGCAUAGGAAUUCAUCAUGUUAUGGAUAGUGAGAACAUAAGAUCAUAGUGACAUCUAAACAAUGAACAAGUGAACUAUUGAAAGUGGCAAACACAAUAUGUGAAGAGUACUAGAAAAUUACAGAAGGAAUAUAAGAAGAUAUAAAACUAACAAAAUAGAGAGAAUACAUUAUAAACAUAAUGAUAAAAAUGCCAUAAGAAAAUUUCCCCUUGAAUGGCAAAACAAACCAUAAUUCUCUUAAGAGUGGCAAAACAAACCAUAAAUCAUAUAGGUGAAAUGAGGGUAAGAAAAUGUAGUGCAAAUAAGGCAUAACCAAAAGGUCAAAAUAUAAGAACAUGUGAAAUAUAAAAAUAAAAAAUAUCUGUCGAUGAGUUUAGAAUUGCUCAUUGUAUCAUAGAACAUAGUGGCAAUAUCCACCUUGUCAUCUUCUAUAAUAGUUGUUGUA